ACGGGCAUAGUUCAAUGGCUAGAAUAGCGGUCUCCAAAACCGUUGAUCUUGGUUCGAGUCCAGGUGCCCGUG
This 72-nucleotide transfer RNA is filed under the name Bacteroidota bacterium. RNAcentral's name for it is "Bacteroidetes bacterium tRNA-Trp". It matches the Rfam family "tRNA". Rfam says of the family: Transfer RNA (tRNA) molecules are approximately 80 nucleotides in length. Their secondary structure includes four short double-helical elements and three loops (D, anti-codon, and T loops). The record is from RNAcentral. RNAcentral also lists the same sequence under 1 other name. Lineage: Bacteria; Pseudomonadati; Bacteroidota.